GAUGAACGCUGGCGGCGUGCUUAACACAUGCAAGUCGAGCGAGUGAGUUCUUCGGAACGAUCUAGCGGCGGACGGGUGAGUAACACGUGGGCAACCUGCCUCAUAGAGGGGAAUAGCCUCCCGAAAGGGAGAUUAAUACCGCAUAAAAUUAUCGAGUAGCAUCACGUGAUAAUCAAAGGAGUAAUCCGCUAUGAGAUGGGCCUGCGGCGCAUUAGCUAGUUGGUAAGGUAACGGCUCACCAAGGCGACGAUGCGUAGCCGACCUGAGAGGGUGAUCGGCCACAUUGGGACUGAGACACGGCCCAGACUCCUACGGGAGGCAGCAGUGGGGAAUAUUGCACAAUGGGGGAAACCCUGAUGCAGCAACGCCGCGUGAGUGAUGAAGGUCUUCGGAUUGUAAAGCUCUGUCUUUGGGGACGAUAAUGACGGUACCCAAGGAGGAAGCCACGGCUAACUACGUGCCAGCCGCCGCCGUAA
Molecule: ribosomal RNA, 476 nt
Filed under: uncultured bacterium
Lineage: Bacteria
Description: partial 16S ribosomal RNA
Rfam family: Bacterial small subunit ribosomal RNA
Source: RNAcentral